CCUACGGGAGGCAGCAGUGGGGAAUUUUGGACAAUGGGCGCAAGCCUGAUCCAGCCAUGCCGCGUGCGGGAAGAAGGCCUUCGGGUUGUAAACCGCUUUUGUCAGGGAAGAAAAUGUUCUGGAUAAUACCUGGGACUCAUGACGGUACCUGAAGAAUAAGCACCGGCUAACUACGUGCCAGCAGCCGCGGUAAUACGUAGGGUGCAAGCGUUAAUCGGAAUUACUGGGCGUAAAGCGUGCGCAGGCGGUUAUGCAAGACAGAGGUGAAAUCCCCGGGCUCAACCUGGGAACUGCCUUUGUGACUGCAUAGCUAGAGUACGGUAGAGGGGGAUGGAAUUCCGCGUGUAGCAGUGAAAUGCGUAGAUAUGCGGAGGAACACCGAUGGCGAAGGCAAUCCCCUGGACCUGUACUGACGCUCAUGCACGAAAGCGUGGGGAGCAAACAGGAUUAGAUACCCUGGUAGUCCACGCCCUAAACGAUGUCAACUGGUUGUUGGGAGGGUUCUUCUUCAGUAACGUAGNUACGACGUGAAGUUGCGCCUGGGGNGGAGCGCGAGUAGAGUAGAGAGAGUAGAGCGNGAGAGNGACGAGACGACGACGAGGGAGGAGG
This 609-nucleotide ribosomal RNA is filed under the name uncultured bacterium. RNAcentral's name for it is "bacterial SSU rRNA". The stretch from base 1 to 540 matches the Rfam family "Bacterial small subunit ribosomal RNA", at positions 338 to 873 of the family's 1533-position model. The record is from RNAcentral.